UCCUGGCUCAGGACGAACGCUGGCGGCGUGCUUAACACAUGCAAGUGGAGCGACGAACCGGGGCUUGCCCCGGGGCAGAGCCGCGAACGGGUGAGUAACACGUGGGUAACCUGCCUCAAUGAUUGGGACAACCCGGGGAAACUCGGGCUAAUACCAAAUGUGUUCACUCCUUCCAAGGGGAGUGAGGAAAGGAAGCUUCGGCCUCCGCAUUGAGAUGGGCCCGCGGCCCAUUAGCUUGUUGGUGAGGUAACGGCUCACCAAGGGCUUCGAUGGGUAGCUGGUCUGAGAGGACGAUCAGCCACACUGGGACUGAGACACGGCCCAGACUCCUACGGGAGGCAGCAGUGGGGAAUCUUGCACAAUGCGCGAAAGCGUGAUGCAGCAACGCCGCGUGGGGGAAGACGGCCUUCGGGUUGUAAACCCCUUUCAGUUGGGACGAAGCUUCGUCGGUGAAUAGCCGGUUGGAGUGACGGUACCUUCAGAAGAAGCCCCGGCUAACUACGUG
Molecule: ribosomal RNA, 505 nt
Filed under: uncultured bacterium
Lineage: Bacteria
Description: bacterial SSU rRNA
Rfam family: Bacterial small subunit ribosomal RNA
Source: RNAcentral